GAGGGUAUUGCUCAGUGGUAGAGCAUGUGCCUAGUAAGCAUGAGGUCCUAUCCUCG
This 56-nucleotide transfer RNA is filed under the name Camelus bactrianus (Bactrian camel). The record is from Rfam by way of RNAcentral. RNAcentral also lists the same sequence under 2 other names. Lineage: Eukaryota; Metazoa; Chordata; Mammalia; Artiodactyla; Camelidae.